Diceros bicornis minor is the source of this 455-nucleotide long non-coding RNA. RefSeq lists it as uncharacterized. NCBI's taxonomy places the organism in Eukaryota, Metazoa, Chordata, Mammalia, Perissodactyla, Rhinocerotidae. The record is from RefSeq and is a predicted model, not a curated record. The transcript has 3 exons.
AGGGACACCCAGGACCAGGUUGGUCCCCCAUGGUAACCACACUGCAAUGGAUUCACUGUGUACCCAGCCGCCUUGGCACAGAGACUGGACAGAGUUGCCAUCUAUGAGGAAUUCCUGCGGCUGACCAGAAGGGUACCCAGCUGCAGAACUUUACCCUGGACGGAAAGAAUGUCCUUGGGGAUGAAUAUUCUGCCAACAGAGAUGACACCUUGACUGAGAAGCCUGGUAAACCUGCAGGAAGCCCCAGCCCAUGGUAGGGGGCGAGUAUCUUGAUGCUGUGCCUCAUUGAAGAGAACCAUGCGCACAGGGUCUUGGAUGAUGAGGAAAGUUGGCCAACCCUUGUCAAGGACGGUUGAGGCACAGUGGGGUCAGCAGGAGCCCUGGGGUGAUGACAGGAGGUGGCUCACCCCAGCACUUGUCUCCCCAGACCACCCCGUCUGGGCCCUCAUCCUGAU